CUGGAUGGGAGACAAGCGUACCUUUGUUUGCCAAGGAGAAUGAUGAUUGUGACCAACGAUAUUAACCACAGGUACUGGGUCAUUAUGGAAGGAGGAGGGUGGAGGUUCCAUGAUCUUUUUGGUUCUCGGAACCCUGAUCAGACCCUCAGAAUCGACACUGGUAUCAGCCCACCCCAUCCUCGUGCCUUGUUCCUUGCUGACUUUCAGCCACCAGAAUCUUAGAAGGGCUUUGAGAUCACUGGCUGUGGGAGAAGCCAGCCACCACUUGGUGAGGACACCCAAGCAGCCCUGGGAAAGGCCCAGGGGGUGAGGAACUGAGACCUCCAUCCAAGGGCUAUAAUGCAGUCAUCGUGCUAAAGGUGAAGCUGCCAUCCUGUACGUCAUCCCCAGACAUCAACCACGACACCCGGAUGGCUGAGAGGAUGGAUGCAAAGAUUCGCGUCUCUGAUAGCAUAAUGGAACUGCUGAAAUUAUCCGGGCUGCCCUCCUUUGGGUUCUCAAUACAUAAGGAAAGGAACACCCCGGUUUAGGGCAAAGCUGUUCAGAUUUCUGUUACCCACAGCAGAAUGGGCAUUUCUGGAAACAGGAACUCCUUGACGGAUGCAUCUUCAGAUAACGUGCAGACAUUCAAUUACACAGUGAAAAAAGGAUGCGGUGAGCUGGUAAUUUUAUUUAGAAUUUGUAUGGUUGACCCAUCUCUGAAAGCACGUAGUCACUGUUGUGAGGAGAACAGGGACUGCUGAGGCAGGAAAUGAUGACACAGUCUCUUUGGGCUCUCAAGAAGAGCACGGGGUUUUGAACCGAAAAUGUGCAAGCCGGCCCUGCUGGCAGCCAGGCCCUUGGUUUCCCAAUCUGCAUGGAAGCGAUGUUCAGGCAAGCCCCUCACCCUCAGAAACGUUUGGAAGGAGAGACAGAACAAGGCCAUUCUCCAAACACAAAAGUGACUGACUGACCCCCUCUUCUGAUGGAUCUGAGUGACUGCUCUCCCUUCACCAGUUACAACCAACUCUAGUGCCCCUGUUUUCUAGAUAACAUUAGAUGUCCAAUUACCAAAAUACUCUGUUCUUUUUUUUUUUUUUUUCGGUACGCGGGUCUCCUACCGCCGCGACCCCUCCCGUUGCGGAGCACAGGC
This is a long non-coding RNA of Physeter macrocephalus (sperm whale), 1132 nucleotides long. RefSeq lists it as uncharacterized. NCBI's taxonomy places the organism in Eukaryota, Metazoa, Chordata, Mammalia, Artiodactyla, Physeteridae. The record is from RefSeq and is a predicted model, not a curated record. The transcript has 4 exons.